RNAcentral lists this long non-coding RNA (827 nucleotides) under Pan troglodytes (chimpanzee). Its description in RNAcentral is "long non-coding RNA NONPTRT015846". The record is from RNAcentral. Lineage: Eukaryota; Metazoa; Chordata; Mammalia; Primates; Hominidae.
GGCGGCCGGGCCGGUAACGGAGAAAGUUUCCGCCGACACUGGCCUGUAUUAGCGCGUAUGGCCUCGGGCCCUCGUUCCCCAAGGCGUGCCGCCUCCCUGUUCUCAGUCGCAGGCUGAAGCCUUGUCUGCUCUCCUCCUUUUUGGUUUGGUUUUGGAACUGACUCCGAGGGUUGGGAGAGCGCGUUGGUGGCGACAGCCGAGUCAGAUCACUAUAAACAAAAUUUCCACAAGAGAAAAUGUUGAAAUAGGAGUUGCGGAUACAUUGGAUAUACUGGAUGAAAUACAAGCGGUUAAUUUUUGUAACGUGAGGGAAAAGCCCACAUUGCUGGUUACAUGUGUAAAUCACUGCGUUAUUGCUUUAGUCAUUGUCUCUAUUUAGCAAUGACAAGACUGGAAGAAGUAAAUAGAGAAGUGAACAUGCAUUCUUCAGUGCGUGGACUUUCAGUAACUGAAAGAUGGAAACCCUUUUUGUACCGUGGAAGAAUUUGCAGAAGACUUUCAGUCGUUUUUGCUGGAAUGAUUGAGCUUACAUUUUUUAUUCUUUCAGCAUUCAAACUUAGAGACACUCACCUCUGGUAUUUUGUAAUACCUGGCUUUUCCAUUUUUGGAAUUUUCUGGAUGAUUUGUCAUAUUAUUUUUCUUUUAACUCUUUGGGGAUUCCAUACCAAAUUAAAUGACUGCCAUAAAGUAUAUUUUACUCACAGGACAGAUUACAAUAGCCUUGAUAGAAUCAUGGCAUCCAAAGGGAUGCGCCAUUUUUGCUUGAUUUCAGAGCAGUUGGUGUUCUUUAGUCUUCUUGCAACAGCGAUUUUGGGAGCAGUUUCCUG